UGCGCGCGAAUAUUGCGCACAAUAGGGGGAAACCCUGAUGCAGCGACGCCGCGUGGAGGAAGAAGGUCUUCGGAUUGUAAACUCCUGUUGUUGGGGAAAAGAAGGAUGGUACCCAACAAGGAAGUGACGGCUAACUACGCAGCCGCGGUAAUACA
RNAcentral lists this ribosomal RNA (155 nucleotides) under uncultured bacterium. Its description in RNAcentral is "partial 16S ribosomal RNA". It matches the Rfam family "Bacterial small subunit ribosomal RNA", at positions 352 to 527 of the family's 1533-position model. The record is from RNAcentral.